GACGAACGCUGGCGGCGUGCUUAACACAUGCAAGUGGAGCGACGAACCAGGGCUUGCCCUGGGGCAGAGCCGCGAACGGGUGAGUAACACGUGGGUAACGUGCCCCGAUGACUGGGACAACCCGGGGAAACCCGGGCUAAUACCGGAUGUGCCCCCUCACAUCAGUGAGGUGUGUAAAGGAAGCUUCGGCCUCCGCAUCGGGAUUGGCCCGCGGCCCAUUAGCUUGUUGGUGAGGUAACGGCUCACCAAGGCUGCGAUGGGUAGCUGGUCUGAGAGGACGAUCAGCCACACUGGGACUGAGACACGGCCCAGACUCCUACGGGAGGCCGCAGUGGGGAAUCUUGCGCAAUGCGCGAAAGCGUGACGCAGCAACGCCGCGUGGGGGAAGACGGCCUUCGGGUUGUAAACCCCUUUCAGUUGGGACGAAGGUCGGGCGGUUAACAGCCGUUCCGGCUGACGGUACCUUCACAAGAAGCCCCGGCUAACUACGUG
Molecule: ribosomal RNA, 492 nt
Filed under: uncultured bacterium
Lineage: Bacteria
Description: partial 16S ribosomal RNA
Rfam family: Bacterial small subunit ribosomal RNA
Source: RNAcentral